CCUACGGGAGGCAGCAGUGGGGAAUUUUGGACAAUGGGGGCAACCCUGAUCCAGCCAUUCCGCGUGAGUGAAGAAGGCCUUCGGGUUGUAAAGCUCUUUUGUCGGGGACGAAACGGUUUUGGUUAAUAACCAAGACUACUGACGGUACCCGAAGAAUAAGCACCGGCUAACUACGUGCCAGCAGCCGCGGUAAUACGUAGGGUGCGAGCGUUAAUCGGAAUUACUGGGCGUAAAGCGUGCGCAGGCGGUUUUGUAAGCCAGAUGUGAAAUCCCCGGGCUCAACCUGGGAAUGGCAUUUGGGACUGCAAGGCUAGAGUAUGGCAGAGGGGACUAGAAUUCCUGGUGUAGCAGUGAAAUGCGUAGAUAUCAGGAGGAAUACCGAUGGCGAAGGCAGGUCCCUGGGCCAAUACUGACGCUCAUGCACGAAAGCGUGGGGAGCAAACAGGAUUAGAUACCCUGGUAGUCCACGCCCCAAACGAUGUCAACUGGUUGUUGGGGGAUUUAUUCUCUUAGUAACGAAGCUAACGCGUGAAGUUGACCGCCUGGGGAGGUACGGUCGCGAGAUAAACUACAAGAAGUAGAGCGNGAGAGNGCGACGACGACGACGAGGAGAGG
RNAcentral lists this ribosomal RNA (615 nucleotides) under uncultured bacterium. RNAcentral's name for it is "bacterial SSU rRNA". It matches the Rfam family "Bacterial small subunit ribosomal RNA", at positions 338 to 961 of the family's 1533-position model. The record is from RNAcentral.